This 254-nucleotide ribosomal RNA is filed under the name uncultured bacterium. Its description in RNAcentral is "partial 16S ribosomal RNA". It matches the Rfam family "Bacterial small subunit ribosomal RNA", at positions 524 to 776 of the family's 1533-position model. The record is from RNAcentral.
UACGUAGGGUGCGAGCGUUGUCCGGAAUUACUGGGCGUAAAGAGCUCGUAGGCGGUUCGAUAAGUCGGGUGUGAAACCUCCAGGCUCAACCUGGAGACGCCACCCGAUACUGUCGUGACUAGAGUCCAGUAGGGGAGCGUGGAAUUCCUGGUGUAGCGGUGAAAUGCGCAGAUAUCAGGAGGAACACCAGCGGCGAAGGCGGCGCUCUGGGCUGGAACUGACGCUGAGGAGCGAAAGCGUGGGGAGCGAACAGG